Ostrea edulis (European flat oyster) is the source of this 790-nucleotide long non-coding RNA. RefSeq lists it as uncharacterized. Lineage: Eukaryota; Metazoa; Mollusca; Bivalvia; Ostreida; Ostreidae. The transcript is spliced from 2 exons. The record is from RefSeq and is a predicted model, not a curated record.
UUCAGUUAUCGGAAGAUUAUUCUACAAAUACAUCAUGAUUAAUACGAUGCUAUCGCCGUUUAAACGAUGGAAUUUUGUGUUUAUAUGUGCUGACGUCAUGUGCAAAGAAAUCAAAUGGCGAGGCGGCGACCUAAUUCAAGUGAUGCUCCAUUUGUCGGUGUUAGGGUUGUUUAAACGGUGAUAGCAUCGUAUUAAUCAUGAUGUAUUUGUAGAAUAAUCUUCCGAUAACUGAAUUCUCACGUCUUGGAAGAUAGAUCCGCGAAAUAAAGUUGUAAGAGGUAGGUAAAGCAGCGACACCAGCUGGUGUCGCUGAAUUCCCACUUUUCAAUAUGGAGUCCGCUCUGACUCUCCCCCGCACAUGUCAAAUAUAAAAGCGGGGGUAAGAGUCAGAGGAAUCUCGGAUUAACACAGUAUAAGCCAGUCCAGCACAUAAUACUGCUCUCAUCACGUGACAUAGAUACGGGGAUGAUCGGGUGCUUAUGGAUGAUGGUAGAUCACUGGUAGGGGAUCCUUUGUCUGGAAUUGAUGACUGUGCAGAACCAAAGGAAGCAACGGAAGAUAUGUCAGAGAAUCAAACGGAACCAACGCAGAUUGAGCAACCUCAGCCAGAAUACAGGAGGUCCACCAGAUCUAGAAAGCCACCAGAUCGUUACGGUGAAUGGGUGGAAUGAUGUGAAAAAUGAACAUUUUGCGAAGUAAUGACAUGAUGUCGGAACUAUUUUAAAAAAAAUCUUAUUAUCUUGAUCACAAUGAUAUGACCGAAUAAAGUGUGCUUGAAUAUGUAGCUCAU